This 255-nucleotide ribosomal RNA is filed under the name uncultured bacterium. Its description in RNAcentral is "partial 16S ribosomal RNA". It matches the Rfam family "Bacterial small subunit ribosomal RNA", at positions 524 to 777 of the family's 1533-position model. The record is from RNAcentral.
UACGUAGGGAGCAAGCGUUGUCCGGAAUCAUUGGGCGUAAAGCGCGCGUAGGUGGCCUCAUAAGUCCGCUGUGAAAGUCAAAGGCUCAACCUUUGAAAGCCGGUGGAUACUGUGGGGCUAGAGUACGGAAGAGGCGAGUGGAAUUCCUAGUGUAGAGGUGAAAUUCGUAGAUAUUAGGAAGAACACCAGUGGCGAAGGCGGCUCACUGGUCCGGUACUGGACGCUGAGGUGCGAAAGCGUGGGGAGCAAACAGGG